GACCUCAGAUCAGGCAAGGCUACCCGCUGAAUUUAAGCAUAUCAAU
This 46-nucleotide ribosomal RNA is filed under the name Goniastrea retiformis. RNAcentral's name for it is "partial 28S ribosomal RNA". The record is from RNAcentral. RNAcentral also lists the same sequence under 2 other names. Lineage: Eukaryota; Metazoa; Cnidaria; Anthozoa; Scleractinia; Merulinidae.